CUUUAAUAGCACUGGUCACAAUCUCCAACUCUCUGAUUCACUAAUUCAUUCUCUCAUUCAUUAAUUCAUGCUCUCAUUUCCUGCCUCCUACACCAUAAUAGCAGCACUAUGAGGGUGACAGCAUUGUGAAUCCAGCUUACUCCUCCCACAGCACUUAGAGCAGAUUCUUGGCACAGAAGGUACUCUAUGAAUUUGACUUGAAUGAAUGAAGUCACAUUCGAUUAUGAGAAGAAGAAACCUUUCUCAGUUCUAAAACACAUUUUUAUUGAUUUGAACUGGGCUGCAUCUUACAACAGAUGAGCAUAUUUGGUGCUGUAUUUCACUCCCACUUCUCCCUGAAAAGCUGUUAGUACAUUGGGGUGCUCAUGGAGUAAAUUGUGUCUUAGCACCAAGGAGGGACAACAAACAUGAUUCUGAGCAGAGCUUUGCUGCCUGUAUCCAGGAUGGUUUUGCUGAGCAAUGAGAAGGAAGGAGGCACAUCAAAGGGGAUGGAAUAAGGAAACCAGUGCCCAGAAAUGAUUAGAAGGAACAGAGAGGCAUGAAGGACAUCAGGAGAAGGCAGGACCAGCCCCAACGGUCUUCAUCUGGGACCAGGGAACGAUGCGGCGGGGAGCCCCUCCCCCUGGGCGUCUGCGGGCGGCAUUUUUAGCUGCAUAUAGUAUCCGAGCGAGGAGGGAGAGGGAGAGAGACGGACGCGAAGUUGGGUGUUUUUCCGAUGCAUUAAUUAUUUUUUUUAAAAGGGAGGGGUGGGGACCAAAGUUCAAGACACGCCAGCAGACACAGGUGCGCUGCGGCGGCCGCUGGUCCGGCGCGGCCGUUCCCGGGUUCGCGGACACCCGCCGCGCGCCUCACCUGGCUGCGCACCUGAGCGGGCCCCGCGGCUCGGCGCCCCCUCGGCUCCCCGGCGUCGGGCCGCCUCCCUCGCGCCUGUGGAACUUGCUGGAGUUCGGCCCCUCCCAGGACGCGAGUGGUCCCGAGAACAGCUGACAGAUUCUAUGUGAGGAGGAAGGACCUGGAAGGAAGAUGGUGGCCCUGCCAGCAGAGGGCUGUUAGGGAGACGUGGCUCGGAGGAAGGCCAGAACCACUGCAGCCCACCCAGGCCUGGGUGUAUUCCAGGUGAGAUACAGAAUAAAAUCAGCUCCCACCUCCCUGUACUGGUAUGA
Molecule: long non-coding RNA, 1163 nt
Filed under: Vulpes vulpes (red fox)
Lineage: Eukaryota; Metazoa; Chordata; Mammalia; Carnivora; Canidae
Description: lncRNA (ENSVVUG00000029740.1)
Source: RNAcentral